GACACGACUCUCGGCAACGGAUAUCUCGGCUCUCGCAUCGAUGAAAAACGUAGCGAAAUGCGAUACCUGGUGUGAAUUGCAAAAUCCCGCGAACCAUCGAGUCUUUGAACGCAAGUUGCGCCCGAGGCCACCCGGUCGAGGGCACGCCUGCCUGGGCGUCACGC
Molecule: ribosomal RNA, 164 nt
Filed under: Brachypodium bolusii
Lineage: Eukaryota; Viridiplantae; Streptophyta; Magnoliopsida; Poales; Poaceae
Also listed under: 1 other name
Description: 5.8S ribosomal RNA
Rfam family: 5.8S ribosomal RNA
About the family: 5.8S ribosomal RNA (5.8S rRNA) is a component of the large subunit of the eukaryotic ribosome. It is transcribed by RNA polymerase I as part of the 45S precursor that also contains 18S and 28S rRNA. Functionally, it is thought that 5.8S rRNA may be involved in ribosome translocation.
Source: RNAcentral